UGGGGAAUAUUGGACAAUGCGGGCAACCGUGAUCCAGCAAUGCCGCGUGAGUGAAGAAGGCCUUAGGGUUGUAAAGCUCUUUUACCAGGGAUGAUAAUGACAGUACCUGGAGAAUAAGCCCCGGCUAACUCCGUGCCAGCAGCCGCGGUAAUACGGAGGGGGCUAGCGUUGUUCGGAAUUACUGGGCGUAAAGCGCGCGUAGGCGGCUUUUCAAGUCAGUGGUGAAAUCCCGGGGCUUAACCCCGGAACUGCCUUUGAAACUGAAUGGCUAGAAUCUUGGAGAGGGGAGUGGAAUUUCGAGUGUAGAGGUGAAAUUCGUAGAUAUUCGGAAGAACACCAGUGGCGAAGGCGACUCACUGGCACGGUACUGACGCUGAGGUGCGAAAGCGUGGGGAGCAAACAGGAUUAGAUACCCGCGUAGUCC
RNAcentral lists this ribosomal RNA (424 nucleotides) under uncultured prokaryote. RNAcentral's name for it is "bacterial SSU rRNA". It matches the Rfam family "Bacterial small subunit ribosomal RNA", at positions 355 to 796 of the family's 1533-position model. The record is from RNAcentral.